GGGAUUGUAGCUCAGUGGUAGAGUACUUGCCUUGCAUGCAUGAGGCCCUGGGUUGGAUCCUCAGCACCA
RNAcentral lists this transfer RNA (69 nucleotides) under Ictidomys tridecemlineatus (thirteen-lined ground squirrel). RNAcentral's name for it is "Spermophilus tridecemlineatus (thirteen-lined ground squirrel) tRNA". It matches the Rfam family "tRNA". From Rfam's summary of the family: Transfer RNA (tRNA) molecules are approximately 80 nucleotides in length. Their secondary structure includes four short double-helical elements and three loops (D, anti-codon, and T loops). Further hydrogen bonds mediate the characteristic L-shaped molecular structure. tRNAs have two regions of fundamental functional importance: the anti-codon, which is responsible for specific mRNA codon recognition, and the 3' end, to which the tRNAs corresponding amino acid is attached (by aminoacyl-tRNA synthetases). tRNAs cope with the degeneracy of the genetic code in two manners: having more than one tRNA (with a specific anti-codon) for a particular amino acid; and 'wobble' base-pairing, i.e. permitting non-standard base-pairing at the 3rd anti-codon position. The record is from Rfam by way of RNAcentral. Lineage: Eukaryota; Metazoa; Chordata; Mammalia; Rodentia; Sciuridae.